GGCUGGGGUCCUACUCUGUAGUUCAGUGCAUCAGGCGUUUGAUGGGCCAGCCUUUCUUGUUCAGCUGCUGAUACUGGCUGUGGGGAGAGAGAGGCUAUGGUGAUGGCUCCACCCCUUACGCGUGACUCAGCAGUAUCGCUUUGCUUCCAUGGCUGCACAGCUUUCCUCCACAGGCAUUUCCCACCACAGUCUCCUCCCUCACUUCCUUUUGAUACGUCUCUCCACAGUCAACAGCAGCCCUCGCCCUGGGAUGGCUCCACAAUCCCCAAACUCUGCGUCCCUGUCCGGGCUUCCCUGGUGGCUCAGAUGGUAAAGAGUCUGCCUGCAAUGCUGGAUAUCUGGGUUUGAUCCCUGAGUUGGGAAGAUCUUUUGGAGAAGGAAAUGGCAACCAACUCCAGUAUUCUUGCCUGAAGAAUGCCAUGGACAGAAGAGCCUGGCAAGCCCCAGUCCAUGGGGUCGCAAAGAGUUGGACACGACUGAGAAGGAUGCUGGCAUCCAGACCCUGAUAAGAUGGUUAUUUUGAGACCAUUAGUCUACCAUCUUCUCAGUCAGCUAGCUUUCUGAAUAAACUCAUAUUCCGUGCCUCAGCACCUUGUCUCUUGGAUGUUACUGGCCUGUGUGGGGCAAGUAGAGCAAGCUUGGACUUGGCAAACAGUCUCAACUGCUUUGAUAUCAAGUCAUGAUUUGAACUCAGAUCUUUGGCAGUGAUCAAGACCAUACCCAAGAAAAAGAAAUGCAAAAAGGCAAAAUGGUCGAUCACCAUUAUGUGAGUUUAACCCAUUUUGAAAAUUUUUCUCUCUAUGAACUGAAGGAAAUGCUUGAACAAUCUUUUCCUUACACUUGGGGUGGGCACUGGUUUUACCGGAUUCUGAAGUGUCCUACAGUUGCAAAAACAUGUGCCAAGAAUGGCUUCCUACUAUUGUGUAAGCUGAGGACCAGGAUACAAAGAAGGACUUCAGACAGGGAGAUAAAACAUAUUUAAAUAAGGCUAUGAUUAUAUUUUUUUUUCUAGUUUCUUUAAUCCUCUGCAGGAAAAGUUUAAAUAAAUGUGCCUUUUACAGCCAUUUUAAUUCCCAAAUAAAAGUAGAAGAAUAUAAGUUUGUUUGUAAUAUUAUGUAUCAUAUUCUAGAAAUACUGAAAUAUAGAAAAAUAUAAAAAUGUAAAACUCAUUAGGGAAAACUGAAGCAAAAAUAUUUUAUUAUGCUAUACUUUAAAAUGCAAAUAUGAAAGUUAAAAAUAAAUGGCAGG
Molecule: long non-coding RNA, 1248 nt
Filed under: Bos taurus (domestic cattle)
Lineage: Eukaryota; Metazoa; Chordata; Mammalia; Artiodactyla; Bovidae
Description: long non-coding RNA NONBTAT004228
Source: RNAcentral